AACAUCUGAGGUUAAUUCACUAAAUGAAGCGUUGGAUUUUCUUUCGUGGAAGCAAGAAAAAUUGUUUGGAUGAUGUUAGAAAAGGCUAGGCCGGCUCAGAGAACAUUCCCCGGGGCUCCACCACCGCACGAAGCUCUACUGGACAUUUAGGGCUGUGCUGGAUGAAUAAACAAUAGGGGAAAAACGCCUUCCUUCCCGCAUUGCCUUUUCCAUGUUGAGUGACCUCUCAUCCAUUAUUCUGCGAGCCUUGCAAGGACACGUCGGGAAUGAACCAAGGGGACUAUUUCCUUUUGCCACCAGGCCCGAGCCCAGGGUGAAGGGGGAUCUUCUAAAGGACCCAGCCCUACACUGCCGACUCCAGGACCCAAGCCCACAAUGCAGUAUGAUCCUGUUUAAAGAACCACCACAGGAAGCCCAAUUCUGACUUAACCAGAAAACUGAACACAGAGAGCAGACCACAGUCCUACGGCUCUUAGGAAGAGACGUCUGCUGUCCAAGAUUAAGGUGUUUGUAAGCUGUUUGCACAGCCUGGGAAGACAUGAGGCUGGGCACCGGCUGGGGAAGGCUUGGGACAGCAGCCCUCCUGGCCUGAAGUUAAACUUUGGCUAUGAGGAGAUGAGUCUGGCAGGUGCACAGGGAGUUCCCCCUCCAGACGGGGUGGCGAGGACCCAAGAGAAGAGAGGAGAGAAAGGGGUCGGAAUUUGUUUUCCAAGAGUUCCCAGAACCUCACUUUUCCAGCAUGCCAUCAGUGGUACCAGACAAGAGAUUCACAAGGAAAAAGAAAAUUUCAACAGAGCAGCAACUGUCAAGUUUCCAGGACAAUCUCCACCUUCAUAGCCUUUGCUAUCAUGCAGAACCCGUGCCCAGAAACCUGGCCUUGACUGUGACCACAGCAUACACCAAAGGCACACAGGCACGCUGCCGUCAGGGAAAUGAAGACAGUGCAGUGUGGGGAGGUGUGCAUGAUUGAAGGCAGCUUCCCACAGCUGUGAGCCAGGUAACAAGCUCAGUGAAGGCGUUGUCACGCUUUCAAACGCCUGAAAAGAGGAGCAAAGAGACAACAGAGGAAGAUGUUUUCGGUGUGAUCAAAGGGCAGUCGGAUCACCCCAGGGAGGGAAGUGGUUGGCGCGCCGUGCAUGUGUGGAGGGAAGUGACAGGUGCAAAUACAGGAGGGCACCCCACAUUUCCUUACCAUCCAGAAACCCAUUAAGCAGGAGGCAGCUGGCCAGGGAGUCAGAGGGCUGAAUAGCCCACUGACCUCCAAAAAUUAGCCUCCUUCCAUUUCCAACUCUUAAGGUUCUAUUUGCUUGGCUUAGUUUAUAUCUAGGGAAUCUCCAAGACUCUUUCAAGAAGAGACUUUUGCAUCCCUGUUAUCUAGAAAAAGGGUGAUGUUUUCUGUCCACUCUCCCUGAAAUGCCAUCUCAGACAUUAAGUUAACUGUAGCAAAGGAACUUUCUAAAUCCUUAUCAAAGGACUAUGGUCACCUGAAUGAAACUGUCUGGGCAUUCAGGAGCAAAUGACACAUGUAGUCUUAGGAAAUUGUUUUGCAAGGAAUACAGGUUUAUAUUAAAGCUCUGAAGCAAGUACAAUAAACGCUCCACAUCAUCUUAGAGAAUGCUUGCAAGGAUGCAUUUCAUUGACAUAUUUAGAGCAAAUUAGUCUAUUUGACAUUGUUUCUCCAAAUUGCAUCAUAUCAUUGCUUCAUUAAGAAUGCUCCAAUUAAGGGAAAGAAAGAAGUUUCUGUAGGGUAGCUAUCUGUACACAUUAGUCUGAGGCUUUCAAAUUAGAGACCAAAUCACAGGUCCCCGUUACCAUGAGAACCAGAGUGUUUCUCCGGCUGUUAAAAUUAUUAACUCGAAGAACAUGCAUCUUCUUAAACUCUGCCUGUUAUUUAUCUACUGUUCCAUGGGCUUGACUGUGCCUAGAGUGAACUCUAUUAAUCAUCAGCUGAAAAAAAGUGCACGGGCUGCAGGAGAGAGCAGCCGUGCCUUUCUUCCUGUCGAGAGCGGCAAGCAAUGGCAAUCCAUUUCCCCAUGUUGCUCCAUCUCUCUUGGAGGGUAGAAGCGAGGGACUGAGAAGCCCUGGAGUGAAGAUAGGCUGGAGAAGCCCGAGAUGAUGCCCAGAGAUGAGCAAGACCAGCUGGCAGUGGCGUUCACACGGUGUGCCACUGCAGGGACAGGCGACACUGAUGAGUGACCAGAGGCCUCUGUCCACUUGCCAGGUGACCCUGAGCUCCGGUCCAACUCCCCAUCUAAAAGUGAAGCCUCGUCACAGUGAAGGCCUAGUCACUUACACUGCAGAGAAUGCACCCACUUCAUCUCCCACGCAGUGUGCACCGUAUCUCCGUUUUACAGAGAAAGAAACCAAGGCUUAGAAAAAUUCUACAACCUGCUCAAGAAGUCAAGCCAGCACAUGGAGAAACCAGGGCCUCCAAGUGAGAUCUUCUGUCUCUAAAAUCCCAUGCUUCCCACACCAAAACUUGCACACAGAGCGCAAGUUUUAUUUGUCAUUGCCAAAACUUGGAGGCAACCAAGGUGUCCUUCAGUAGGGGAAGGGAUGGAUACACUGUGGUCCAUCCUGACAAUGGAAUGUAAUUCAGUGCUAAAAAGAAACGAGCCGUCCAGCAAGCCAUCAAGAGGCAUGGGGGCAGGUGGGGGGGGGGACCUUAAAUACACGCUGCUAAGAAGCCAGUCUGAAAAGACUACAC
Molecule: long non-coding RNA, 2707 nt
Filed under: Sus scrofa (pig)
Lineage: Eukaryota; Metazoa; Chordata; Mammalia; Artiodactyla; Suidae
Description: lncRNA (ENSSSCG00035077950.1, ENSSSCG00065002189.1)
Source: RNAcentral